This 329-nucleotide ribosomal RNA is filed under the name uncultured bacterium. RNAcentral's name for it is "bacterial SSU rRNA". It matches the Rfam family "Bacterial small subunit ribosomal RNA", at positions 29 to 361 of the family's 1533-position model. The record is from RNAcentral.
AUUGAACGCUGGCGGCAUGCCUUACACAUGCAAGUCGAACGGCAGCACGGGAGCAAUCCUGGUGGCGAGUGGCGAACGGGUGAGUAAUAUAUCGGAACGUGCCCAGUGAUGGGGGAUAGCCCGGCGAAAGCCGGAUUAAUACCGCAUACGACCUACGGGUGAAAGCAGGGGAUCGCAAGACCUUGCGUCAUUGGAGCGGCCGAUAUCAGAUUAGCCUGUGGUGGGGUAAAGCCUACCAAGGCGACGAUCUGUAGCUGGUCUGAGAGGACGACCAGCCACACUGGGACUGAGACACGGCCCAGACUCCUACGGGAGGCAGCAGUGGGGAA